GGAGAGAUGUCCGAGUGGCUUAAGGAGCACGCCUGGAACGCGUGUUUAGGGGUAACCCUAACGUGGGUUCAAAUCCCACUUUCUCCG
Molecule: transfer RNA, 87 nt
Filed under: Hathewaya proteolytica DSM 3090
Lineage: Bacteria; Bacillati; Bacillota; Clostridia; Eubacteriales; Clostridiaceae
Rfam family: tRNA
About the family: Transfer RNA (tRNA) molecules are approximately 80 nucleotides in length.
Source: Rfam by way of RNAcentral